CGGGGCGCUGACGAGUGGCGGACGGGUGAGUAAUGCUUGGGAAUCUGCCUAGUAGUGGGGGAUAACCCGGGGAAACUCGGGCUAAUACCGCAUACGUCCUACGGGAGAAAGCGGGGGAUCUUCGGACCUCGCGCUAUUAGAUGAGCCCAAGUCGGAUUAGCUAGUUGGUGGGGUAAUGGCCUACCAAGGCAACGAUCCGUAGCUGGUCUGAGAGGACGAUCAGCCACACCGGAACUGAGACACGGUCCGGACUCCUACGGGAGGCAGCAGUGGGGAAUAUUGGACAAUGGGCGAAAGCCUGAUCCAGCAAUGCCGCGUGUGUGAAGAAGGCCUGCGGGUUGUAAAGCACUUUCAGCAGGGAAGAACAGCACAGGGAUAAUACCCUUGUGUGCUGACGUCACCUGAAGAAGAAGCACCGGCUAACUCCGUGCCAGCAGCCGCGGUAAUACGGAGGGUGCGAGCGUUAAUCGGAAUUACUGGGCGUAAAGAGUACGUAGGUGGCUUGAUUAGUCGGAUGUGAAAGCCCUGGGCUUAACCUGGGAACUGCAUCCGAGACUGUCUAGCUAGAGUAAGGGAGAGGGAAGUGGAAUUUCCGGUGUAGCGGUGAAAUGCGUAGAUAUCGGAAGGAACACCAGUGGCGAAGGCGACUUCCUGGCCCAUUACUGACACUGAGGUACGAAAGCGUGGGGAGCAAACAGGA
RNAcentral lists this ribosomal RNA (700 nucleotides) under uncultured bacterium. Its description in RNAcentral is "bacterial SSU rRNA". It matches the Rfam family "Bacterial small subunit ribosomal RNA", at positions 81 to 777 of the family's 1533-position model. The record is from RNAcentral.